AUGUGGCUGCUAUGCAGGCUUAUGGGGUACAUCACCUGGCCAUCCAGCCCGGGAAAGAUCCCCAGGUCCAGGGAGUCCCAGGGACUUGCCCGCACAGGAACUCAGGCUUCCUGCCUCCACAGCCACUGCUCCGACUUGUUUCCACAUUCCCUGUCUAGCAAAAUGCUAGAACUUUCAAACCAAAAAGAAAAGGAAAAAAAAAUCACACUUUUGCAAUUUAUCAAACUGGAGUUUCUCCUGUAUGUUCCCUUUGCCUCAGAGCUCGAUUCAAAGCAACACCCACCUCGUUCUGAUGUUUGGCCAAACCACCUCCGGCUUCACAAUGGGGCCAGAAACACGGCAAAGCCCGGCUGGGUCCAAGCUCUUCCAUCCUUCCUGAUCUUAAAAGCUCUCUCUCCCUCAACCUCAGACUUUCUUGUGGUAUUUCAAAACAUCUCCUUAUGAACCUGGACAAAACCUGAACAAUCAAGGCCUUGGGAAACUGGAACAUUGUUUCCUGAACCAUUUUAAACCUGAAAAAUAAUUGUGUGCCUGUGUGUUUUGAGUUCUGGAUGAAAGCCCAAAAUGAUGUUGUCUUGUACUUGAGCUGAUUUGUGCAAGGGACCCCUUUCUUCCUUGGGUGGAAUUAAUGUCAGUUGUGGUGCUGAGUGUUUUAGGCUUUGGGGAUGAUUACAGAGCACUCCCCUGAGGACAAGAGAUGCAUCUGGGUGAUGGAGCCCAGAGAAGAAAGCGAGCAUGCAGAGGGAGUGAUGGGCCAGCAGAAACUGGUGGGUUCAGUGGGCACAGCCACUCAGCCUCCCUGAAACCUGGUCAGCACAGAGCCAGGGGAUGUGCCCAAAAGCUAGACAGCCAUGUAGGAGCUGUCACAGAGGGCUGAAGUAGGUCAGGCCUGGGAGGUGAGCUGAUACCACUUGGUGGCUAAGAGGAAAGACUCUGGAGCCAGCCUACAUUGGGCUUGGACCUCGGUUCCUCCACUUCCAGUUGGGUGAACUUGAGGAAGUAACCCAGCUUCUCCAUGUCUCAGUUCCCCCACCUCUAAAGAAGGUGAUCUAGCACCUUCCACCAGCCAGGUUCUAUCCUGAGAUCUUCCCAACAACCAUCUAUAUAUUCAAUAACUAUCUGUCUAUAUACCCUCCCCACUUUGAGGGCCAAGUCAACGUCUAAAGAUCACACAAAUGCUCUGUGGGGGAGCCCGGCU
This 1198-nucleotide long non-coding RNA is filed under the name Capra hircus (goat). RNAcentral's name for it is "lncRNA (ENSCHIG00010004690.1)". The record is from RNAcentral. Lineage: Eukaryota; Metazoa; Chordata; Mammalia; Artiodactyla; Bovidae.